Molecule: ribosomal RNA, 465 nt
Filed under: uncultured bacterium
Lineage: Bacteria
Description: partial 16S ribosomal RNA
Rfam family: Bacterial small subunit ribosomal RNA
Source: RNAcentral
GACGAACGCUGGCGGCGUGCUUAACACAUGCAAGUCGAACGGAAAGGCCCUGCUUGCAGGGUACUCGAGUGGCGAACGGGUGAGUAACACGUGGGUGAUCUGCCCUGCACUUCGGGAUAAGCCUGGGAAACUGGGUCUAAUACCGGAUAUGACCUUCCAUGUAGUGUGGGGGGUGGAAAGAUUUAUCGGUGUGGGAUGAGCCCGCGGCCUAUCAGCUUGUUGGUGGGGUAAUGGCCUACCAAGGCGUCGACGGGUAGCCGGCCUGAGAGGGUGGACGGCCACAUUGGGACUGAGAUACGGCCCAGACUCCUACGGGAGGCAGCAGUGGGGAAUAUUGCACAAUGGGCGGAAGCCUUAUGCAGCGACGCCGCGUGGGGGAUGACGGCCUUCGGGCUGUAAACCUCUUUCGACAGGGACGAAGCUUCGGUGACGGUACCUGUAUAAGAAGCACCGGCUAACUACGUG